GUAUGCAAUUCACUAAAGGUAUGUAAUUCAUAUGGCUAAAGGUAUGCAAUUAUAUAUAAUACAGUUCCUAAGAGUUUUGUGAAAAUCAAUUAUCUCUAAGAAUUCUUUUCUUUUUUUAUAUCCCUAGCAAGGGGAAAGGCCGCAGUAAGAGGUGAAUCCUUAUCAAGCAAGGAUUCCAUGGAAGAAAAAGAGCUAUGGAUUCAUAUCUACUUCAAAGACAAACAAAACAAAACAAAAAGACCCAAGGAACAAUAUACACAACCUGGUAGCAGCUACUGGUUUGACAAACUGUUGUAUCUGAGUGCUGAACCAUAUUCUUGAUCUCACAGGAAGUACUUUUGAAG
Molecule: long non-coding RNA, 344 nt
Organism: Anas platyrhynchos (mallard)
Lineage: Eukaryota; Metazoa; Chordata; Aves; Anseriformes; Anatidae
Source: RefSeq, a predicted model, not a curated record